This 1191-nucleotide ribosomal RNA is filed under the name Salmonella enterica. RNAcentral describes it as "partial 23S ribosomal RNA". It matches the Rfam family "Bacterial large subunit ribosomal RNA", at positions 1744 to 2925 of the family's 2925-position model. Lineage: Bacteria; Pseudomonadati; Pseudomonadota; Gammaproteobacteria; Enterobacterales; Enterobacteriaceae. The record is from RNAcentral.
AGGUGAAGUGAUUUACUCAUGGAGCUGAAGUCAGUCGAAGAUACCAGCUGGCUGCAACUGUUUAUUAAAAACACAGCACUGUGCAAACACGAAAGUGGACGUAUACGGUGUGACGCCUGCCCGGUGCCGGAAGGUUAAUUGAUGGGGUCAGCGCAAGCGAAGCUCCUGAUCGAAGCCCCGGUAAACGGCGGCCGUAACUAUAACGGUCCUAAGGUAGCGAAAUUCCUUGUCGGGUAAGUUCCGACCUGCACGAAUGGCGUAAUGAUGGCCAGGCUGUCUCCACCCGAGACUCAGUGAAAUUGAACUCGCUGUGAAGAUGCAGUGUACCCGCGGCAAGACGGAAAGACCCCGUGAACCUUUACUAUAGCUUGACACUGAACAUUGAGCCUUGAUGUGUAGGAUAGGUGGGAGGCUUUGAAGUGUGGACGCCAGUCUGCAUGGAGCCGGCCUUGAAAUACCACCCUUUAAUGUUUGAUGUUCUAACGUGGACCCGUGAUCCGGGUUGCGGACAGUGUCUGGUGGGUAGUUUGACUGGGGCGGUCUCCUCCUAAAGAGUAACGGAGGAGCACGAAGGUUGGCUAAUCCUGGUCGGACAUCAGGAGGUUAGUGCAAUGGCAUAAGCCAGCUUGACUGCGAGCGUGACGGCGCGAGCAGGUGCGAAAGCAGGUCAUAGUGAUCCGGUGGUUCUGAAUGGAAGGGCCAUCGCUCAACGGAUAAAAGGUACUCCGGGGAUAACAGGCUGAUACCGCCCAAGAGUUCAUAUCGACGGCGGUGUUUGGCACCUCGAUGUCGGCUCAUCACAUCCUGGGGCUGAAGUAGGUCCCAAGGGUAUGGCUGUUCGCCAUUUAAAGUGGUACGCGAGCUGGGUUUAGAACGUCGUGAGACAGUUCGGUCCCUAUCUGCCGUGGGCGCUGGAGAACUGAGGGGGGCUGCUCCUAGUACGAGAGGACCGGAGUGGACGCAUCACUGGUGUUCGGGUUGUCAUGCCAAUGGCACUGCCCGGUAGCUAAAUGCGGAAGAGAUAAGUGCUGAAAGCAUCUAAGCACGAAACUUGCCCCGAGAUGAGUUCUCCCUGAGACUUUAGGUCUCCUGAAGGAACGUUGAAGACGACGACGUUGAUAGGCCGGGUGUGUAAGCGCAGCGAUGCGUUGAGCUAACCGGUACUAAUGAACCGUGAGGCUUAACCUUACA